RNAcentral lists this long non-coding RNA (526 nucleotides) under Mus musculus (house mouse). RNAcentral's name for it is "long non-coding RNA chr4:43572513-43573039". The record is from RNAcentral. Lineage: Eukaryota; Metazoa; Chordata; Mammalia; Rodentia; Muridae.
ACUUUGUAGGAUUUUUAAAAAUAUAAAUAUCCCCAAAGCCUUCCACAGUGUAUUAACACAGUACACAGGCAAUAGUUACUUCAGACCCAUGUUUCUAAACUUGGCUUGCAAUGCGGAAGAGAUGAGACAUGGGCCUAGGGUAGAGACUGGAUAUUGAGCACAGCCAGUAAACUUGAAUUGAGAAGGAUACUGUCAUUGGUGAGUUUGAGAUCUGCCAGUUAUCUCACCUUUGGAGGUAAGCUGGAAGCUCGGGAAAGGGGGACUUGCUAACUCAGAAGGGGAGGUCAUUUGAGAGCCUUGGUGAAGGGCAGGGCAUACACUGACAAUUAAGGCCCAGAUAUGAGCGAGGAAGGCUAGAGAGAAGAGUUAAAGGGGGUCCUGGGAAGACCAUCAGAGGUCUGCGGCAAGGGCGCUAACCUAGGCUAAAGCGUUACUAAUCUAGGGAAGGAGACUUAGCACUGUGCGCCUUUUCCCACCAUGGCUUUUUAGGUUUCACUUUUUCUCUUUCAGUCUUUUCGAAUAUUCU